UUGGAGGUCCUAUAGAAUGUUGCCACUUAACUCUUAGAUAGAUAGUAUAUGUAGAGGCAAGAAUGAAGCCUUUUCGAUUCUUAUCAAUUCCUUACUUACUUCUAGUUUAGUUUCAAGAGUCUUUAAUUUUCUUAUCUUUUGACAAUAGCCAUUCUAGUUUCUUUUUAAUAUACAUACUUCCUUAUUUCUAUUUUGUCAUAUUUCUUUGAA
This 210-nucleotide long non-coding RNA is filed under the name Physcomitrium patens. RNAcentral's name for it is "long non-coding RNA (PPAT_LNC011974)". The record is from RNAcentral. Lineage: Eukaryota; Viridiplantae; Streptophyta; Bryopsida; Funariales; Funariaceae.